RNAcentral lists this ribosomal RNA (417 nucleotides) under uncultured eukaryote. RNAcentral describes it as "bacterial SSU rRNA". It matches the Rfam family "Eukaryotic small subunit ribosomal RNA", at positions 592 to 1017 of the family's 1831-position model. The record is from RNAcentral.
CAAUAGCGUAUAUUAAAGUUGUUGCGGUUAAAAGCUCGUAGUUGGAUUUCUGUUGAGGACGACCGGUCCGCCCUCUGGGUGAGUAUCUGGCUCGGCCUUGGCAUCUUCUUGGAGAACGUAACUGCACUUGACUGUGUGGUGCGGUAUCCAGGACUUUUACUUUGAAAAAUUAGAGUGUUCAAAGCGGGCUUACGCUUGAAUAUUUCAGCAUGGAAUAACACUAUAGGACUCCUGUCCUAUUUCGUUGGUCUCGGGACGGGAGUAAUGAUUAAGAGGAACAGUUGGGGCGAUUCGUAUUUCAUUGUCAGAGGUGAAAUUCUUGGAUUUAUGAAAGACGAACUUCUGCGAAAGCAUUUGCCAAGGAUGUUUUCAUUAAUCAAGAACGAAAGUUGGGGCGUCGAAGAUGAUCAGAUACCA